AAGCAGAGGAGGAAGCGACAGAGGAAGCAGCAAAAUAUGAAGUACAAUCCAAGAGUAUCCUCCUCUCGCCGGAAGAGCAGGAAGGCUCAUUUCACGGCGCCUUCAAGUGCGCGCCGGAUUUUAAUGAGCGCACCCUUAUCGUCCGAGUUACGUGUAAAGUACAACGUAAGAUCUAUGCCGGUGAGGAAAGAUGACGAAGUUCAGGUUGUUCGUGGAACUUACAAGGGCCGUGACGGGAAAGUUGUCCAAGUGUACCGUAAGAAAUGGGUGAUCCACAUUGAACGUAUAACCAGAGAGAAGGUCAAUGGAUCUACUGUGAACGUUGGUAUUCAUCCUUCGAAGGUUGUUGUUACAAAGCUAAGGCUUGACAAAGACAGGAGAUCACUACUCGACCGCAAGGCUAAGGGACGAGCUGCUGCUGACAAGGACAAGGGCACUAAGUUCACUUCUGAGGAUAUCAUGCAGAAAAUCGAUUGAUUUUUCACUCAUUUUGUCUGGUAUUGCUAUUUUAGCUAAAGAGAAUUUAUAUCAGUCCGUUUCAGUUCAUUAGUGACAUUUAAUUUUGUUGAAGUUUCUGUUUUUGCUUAAAUCAAUGAUGAUGAUACUUCAGAACUCCAUAACAUAGUUAGAUUAUUAUGUUAGCUACUAUAUUCGACUGUUGGCUGUACCUGUAAUUCUGCUCAAACACUCAUGAAUGAUGCUG
RNAcentral lists this unclassified non-coding RNA (703 nucleotides) under Hevea brasiliensis (rubber tree). Lineage: Eukaryota; Viridiplantae; Streptophyta; Magnoliopsida; Malpighiales; Euphorbiaceae. The record is from RNAcentral.